This is a regulatory RNA element of Clostridium paraputrificum, 113 nucleotides long. It matches the Rfam family "TPP riboswitch aptamer (THI element)". From Rfam's summary of the family: Vitamin B(1) in its active form thiamin pyrophosphate (TPP) is an essential coenzyme that is synthesised by coupling of pyrimidine and thiazole moieties in bacteria. The previously detected thiamin-regulatory element, thi box was extended, resulting in a new, highly conserved RNA secondary structure, the THI element, which is widely distributed in eubacteria and also occurs in some archaea. NCBI's taxonomy places the organism in Bacteria, Bacillati, Bacillota, Clostridia, Eubacteriales, Clostridiaceae. The record is from Rfam.
AUAGAAACACAGGGGUGCUUAAAUUGGUAAGCUGAGAGUGAAAGCCUUAUACUUUCUAACCCUAGGAACCUGUUUGGUUAAUACCAGCGUAGGAAGUUGUUAAUGUAAUUUGA